This is a long non-coding RNA of Oreochromis aureus, 1695 nucleotides long. The record is from Ensembl. Lineage: Eukaryota; Metazoa; Chordata; Actinopteri; Cichliformes; Cichlidae.
CAGCUAGCGACACGGUGACUUUAUUCACCCGCUUCGGCUGUUAUCAGUCCAUACAAUGGGCGUUAUUAGCAGAAAUCAGUCCCAUAGAUAUGGGCCAUCUCCUGCUAGAUUGUUCAGAAGCUUGUUCUCAUCCAUCCAGAUGGAGGAUCACUAACAGGAGCGUCUCCAGAAUCCACUCUGGCUGGAAUCCGGUGGAUACAGCAGUGUUACAGGUUAAUACACGAUACUGAUCCCUGAUGGGAGAAUCAUAACCUCUGCCAACAAAGAAGCCUGGUGGAUAUUUGUUUGCAGUCUGAUGAUGGGACACCAUGCUCUGCAUCUUCAAAGUUUGUCUCUUGAUUAUUAUUCAUACACAGUAAUGUGAAGCAUGCUCAUAUCUAGUAUAACUGGACCAACCUGGUGCUCUUCAUUUAUGGAGGCUGUUGAGUCUGAAUGUUGGAUGUUGUGUAUCUCGUGUUCUCUGGGCUUUGUUGUCCUCAGUCUUUUUGCAGGAUCAGAAAACAAAACCAGGAUGACCGUAAAUGUUUCUUCUCCAAUUGGAUGAUGAUAAGACUGUGACACGGGAUGCCACCUUUAGUCUUGUGAUGAAGCAAAGCUCAGGAAGAAGUGUGAUUAAAUGGUACCCACAUGUGUGCUGCUGAGAAGGAUGUACAGGGGCACCUGCAGCCAAAUCCAAGCCUCCUCAGCAACUUCAGGUCUGUCAGCGUGCUGAGGUCACAGAAACAAGAAAAGCAGCUUCAGACUUCAGAGUGUUGUUUACAGUUUUCUGUCAUCAUGAUCUCCCCUGAAGUUUAUCACUAUUAGGCAAGCAAGCAGAGCGGCAGUUUGUGCUCACAGAUGGUGACGGUGUGGAGAGACGGUGGUGUUUCCUCAGAAGAACUAGCAGAGUCACAAAGGGCACGAGUCUUUCUCACCACCUUGACUUGUUGAUCAGUGGAUACACUUGUCUCCCCUUUAAAGAAGAUACUCUUAGAGAGAGACGAUCAGAGUCAUCCUUAAAUAUGGGAAGGAUAUCACUAUUAGACUGUCUAACCUGCAGGAGCAGCACUGAAUGAUCACCACACAUGAUCAGUUCCUGCAACAUUCAGCAUCUGAUCUGCCAUCUGUGUGCUUCUGCUUUUGUGUCAAAUGUCAAACAGCUGGAGAGGAAACUACACCAGUGUACUGGGAUGUUUCAGCAACACGUGCCAGACGCUGUUCCUUCAUGGUGACAUCACCAGAGACGGCCCCGCCCACCUCAUGACCUCGCCAUUGAUCAUGAUGAUUUUAAUGAUGACAGCGAGCGGAACUAAGACUGUAAAAAUCAGAAUGUUUAGAUGCUUUCUAUUUAUUCAUGAAUACUGAGAGCCUCUUUCUGUGUUUUGUCUGUUUUGUUUUUUUUUACCUCAUUUGUUACUAACAAAGUUCACCAAACUCACACAGUUUACAUUCUGUAUGUUUCCAUCUUUACCAGCCACAGUCUACCUGCAAUUAAGAAAAUAAUCCUUACAAAUUGUCGUUUUUCUCUUUUGUAAUUUUGUAAUUCAGUGAAUAUACUGCGCUGCGUCUCACAUUGCUUUAAGUUUUUCCAGUGUCCAGUUAUUUUUUACUGUUGUUUGAACUCUCUGCAUGUUUGACCCUGUAGACUGUUUGAUGGACUGCUUGUCUUCCUGUUUGUAACCGCCGCCUGUUUUUGACUAAAGAUUUGGAUUUCUG